UGGCUUUGGCAUUCUCGGCCCUGGUAUCUUUCAACCAUCCAUCUAGGUAAACCUGGUUAGAGUCAGGGUUGACUUUGGAUUUCUCAGUUCUGAUAUCCUUCAACCAUCCAUCAAGGUAAACUUGGUUGGAGUCAGGGUUGGCUUUGGCAUUCUCGGCCCUGGUAUCUUUCAACCAUCCAUCUAGGUAAACUUGGUUGGAGGCAUGGUUGACUUUGGCUUUCUCGACUCUGGUAUCUUUCAACCAUCCAUCAAGGUAAACUUGGUUAGAGUUAGGGUUGACUUUUGUUUUCUCUCCUUUGGUAUCCUUCAACCAUCCAUCAAGGUAAACUUGGUUAGAGUUAGGGUUGACUUUUGUUUUCUCGCCUUUGAUAUCUUUCAACCAUCCGUCAAGGUAAACUUGAUUGGAGUUAGGGGAGAGUUUUUGGUUCUUUAGUGGAGUGUUUUUGAGCCAACCAUCAAGGUAAGGUUGGUCAACCUGGUUCAU
Non-coding RNA from Vicia faba (fava bean), 484 nucleotides. The record is from the annotation of a GenBank genome assembly. NCBI's taxonomy places the organism in Eukaryota, Viridiplantae, Streptophyta, Magnoliopsida, Fabales, Fabaceae.